Salmo salar (Atlantic salmon) is the source of this 655-nucleotide non-coding RNA. NCBI's taxonomy places the organism in Eukaryota, Metazoa, Chordata, Actinopteri, Salmoniformes, Salmonidae. The record is from RefSeq and is a predicted model, not a curated record.
GGCUUGUAUGCAUGCAUGCAUUUAUCAUGUGCACAUGCUUUGACGUUUAUAUAAAAGGUGCAAUAUGCAGAAAUCGCUCCACCAUUUCCUGGAUACAGAAAUUCAAUUGUGUAGAGAAUUAUUGUACCAUCUAAACCGCUGUGAAAUAUAUUUUCAGCUGUUUGAAGUUCAUUUACAAAACCGAAAGUAAAAAGAGCAAAAGAUGCACUUAACGGGAAGCAUAGGAAUAGAACAGAUCUACGGCUUAGACUAGAUUUCAAUGAGAAAGACAUGAUCUAGAUUUGUCAAUUUGGUCGGGUCACUCAAAAAGUUACAUAUUGCAGCUUACCUGUGGAAUUAUUUGUUACAUUCCUACCUGAAAAAGGACCAACCGCACGGACAACCGGUAAAGUGUCUGCUGCACAUCAAAGGGGCAAAGAAUGGAAUGGUAUCUCUAUGCCUGAACUUCAUUUCCUGACUCUGCUGCUGCCUGGCAAGUAACUCUGGUUGAUGUGUUGGUGCCAUUUGCACCUUUAGGUUUCUCCCUCCACUGCCAAGGUUCUGGCUCUGCUUGGGAGGGGAGGGCACAGUAACCUCAGGACCAAGGCCUUGUCUUCAGUAACAGCCAACAUUAUAGCCCUGGUGGGUAGGAGCUUUGGGCCAGUAGCUGAAAGAU